RNAcentral lists this long non-coding RNA (1144 nucleotides) under Mus musculus (house mouse). RNAcentral describes it as "predicted gene, 36393". The record is from RNAcentral. Lineage: Eukaryota; Metazoa; Chordata; Mammalia; Rodentia; Muridae.
AGUGAGUUUUGGAGGCACAAACAAAACUCUGUGUCUUUAUCAUGUUAGCCCAUGGUUUGAACUUACAGAAGUAUUUUUACUGGGGUUCUGUCUUCUCCUGUCCCCUGCCGUACCAAGACACCUAUCUCUGUGUCUAAAGGAUCCAUGGACGGAUGCUCUCCUCAGACUUGACCCUUUUCCAGUUUGGAGGGCCUGUUGGUGAGAUGCAGGAGAGACUGGCUUGGAUGGACAAGUCUACCCUGAGUUUUGUAAUGUGGAUUGCAACGUGACUGAGGAUGAGGAAGGCUCGAGUGUAAUGAUCCCUGGCAUGCCACCCUGAUCCCUGAUGAGCAAGCUCUCCCUUCUCAUCACUACAGGCGGUCUCAAGUUUACACAGUUACGAGUCACAGGUUUGCGAUAACCUUGACUGAAAAAAGCACGUAUGGGCUUUGAACUGAGAGUCACAAAUUCUGGUUCUUGGCUUGGCUCUCAACGCCCUUUGCUGUGAUGUUGUUGUUGAAGCUCACAUAAAGUCAGGACCUUUAUGCCUGUUCUAGAUCCACCUGCUGGGACUCAAGGAACACGGAAAAUCAAGGACAUGAGUGAAGGGACAAACGAUCGGACAGUCAUCGGUUACCUCGCUGAAGAUGACUCGCAGUGCAGAAGCUGAGGGCGACUUGCUCCGCUGCUGCAGAUUGUCACCUUCCUGCUGUGGUCCAGGGGAAGGAAGUGCAGCUCCGUCAAGCUGAUCCUCUCAAGGUGCCUGCGGUCUGCGGAGCUCUGAGACCUGCAUGUGUGAAGACUUCCACUUCUCUCAGUGAGUCACACCUAUUGCAACACCAAGUGGUGACUAAGUCUCUCCUCCGUGGAUGGAGGGCGGGGAGAUUGUAGGUCACAGGUUUCCAAAGGAAUCGUCAGUGCUUUUUAUAAAUUAAGUGUGGCUAGCUAGAGAAAACUACUCAUGCUAUCUUGACCAAAGGAGGAGGCUGAAAUCAAGUAACUAAGAAGCUUUUUUAAAAAAAAAUUAUUUUGUAUCUUUUGUAAAUCUCCUGGUGCAAGGAACUGAUCAUUUCACUGAAAAACAAACAAACAAACAAACAAACAAACAAACAAUUUUUAUGAGCAAGAAGAUCAACAUAAUAAAUGACCAAAUAUGGUUUGGGAA